Molecule: long non-coding RNA, 474 nt
Filed under: Ananas comosus (pineapple)
Lineage: Eukaryota; Viridiplantae; Streptophyta; Magnoliopsida; Poales; Bromeliaceae
Description: long non-coding RNA (ACOM_LNC039968)
Source: RNAcentral
GAGAGAAGGGUGAAAAUGGCUGUGGAAGAGAGGGGUGAGUCAUAUAUAGUGUUGUAACAAUUGCACUUAAGCCCCUCCACUUGUUUCCUCUUGAACUGCCCAGACUGGGCAUUUUUCGCCUUCGGGGACCGGUCUCCCCGACCAGGGACCGGUUCCCGAACGGGGGUUUUCCAGGACUUAGCCAAAUUUUCGAGUUUUCGGCUGUUGCGCAGCGAGGGACCGGUCUGCCCGUCAGGGACCGGUCUCCCGAGGACCGGUCUCACCACCAGGGACCGGAUGCCUCAGGAUUUCCUGGCAGGCUACGCGCACGGGGACCGGUCUCUCCUUCAGGGACCGGUCCCCGAGAGCUCAAAAUCUGGGACUUAGCCAGAUUUUCAAAUUUGCUCUCCGGGUCCCUUUUUGCUCCGUUUAUGAACUCCAAUGCACUCAGGGUCCACUUUAACUCGUUCAAUUAUGCGUUCCGCUCGUUUUGAC